Molecule: ribosomal RNA, 117 nt
Filed under: Petromyzon marinus (sea lamprey)
Lineage: Eukaryota; Metazoa; Chordata; Hyperoartia; Petromyzontiformes; Petromyzontidae
Source: RNAcentral
GCUUACGGCCAAAUCACGUUGAACGAACCUGGCCAUCAGAUCCCAGAAGCUAUGGAGGGCUAAGCCUGCUUAGAACUUGGAUGUGAGACUGCCUGGGAAUACCAGGUGAUGUGUGGG